UUGAAAUUUGGCUGUCGAGUAGACUACGAGCACACCUGAUUGUAGAUUUUGUGUUGAUUUUAAUUUAGCGAUUUCUGUCUUGCUAGGGAGCAGUGCAUUGUUGGUUGCCGCAUAUGGUUGCUGCAUUACCAAAGAACGGUAAACAUUCUGUGGAAAAUGGAGGACGAAUUUGACUUUCUCUUCAUAUCCCUUCGUAUGGUGUUUACUUGGCUUAUUUUGUGUCUCCAUAUUAUUAAUGGUUUGUAAACACAGAUCAGCCCAUUACAAAGAUGAUCACUUCUACAUUGGUUUUCAAGCCAUGUCUGAUGCUCUGCCUUCAAACAUGAACAACCUUUUCACAUAGAUGGUCUUAUCCUUGGAGAAGCCACAUCUGAAGUUGUUGUCAAUAUUUUUGAUGUC
Lolium rigidum is the source of this 399-nucleotide long non-coding RNA. RefSeq lists it as uncharacterized. The record is from RefSeq and is a predicted model, not a curated record. Lineage: Eukaryota; Viridiplantae; Streptophyta; Magnoliopsida; Poales; Poaceae. The transcript is spliced from 3 exons.